RNAcentral lists this ribosomal RNA (468 nucleotides) under uncultured bacterium. Its description in RNAcentral is "partial 16S ribosomal RNA". It matches the Rfam family "Bacterial small subunit ribosomal RNA", at positions 28 to 507 of the family's 1533-position model. The record is from RNAcentral.
GACGAACGCUGGCGGCGUGCUUAACACAUGCGAGUCGAACGGAAAGGCCCUGCUUUUGUGGGGUGCUCGAGUGGCGAACGGGUGAGUAACACGUGAGUAACCUGCCCUUGACUUUGGGAUAACUUCAGGAAACUGGGGCUAAUACCGGAUAGGAGCUCCUGCUGCAUGGUGGGGGUUGGAAAGUUUCGGCGGUUGGGGAUGGACUCGCGGCUUAUCAGCUUGUUGGUGGGGUAGUGGCUUACCAAGGCUUUGACGGGUAGCCGGCCUGAGAGGGUGACCGGACACAUUGGGACUGAGGUAGGGCCCAGAGUGGUACGGGAGGCAAAAGUGGAGAAUAUUGCACAAUGAGCGGGAGCCUGAUGCAGAAGCGCCGCGUGCGGAAUGAAGGCCUUCGGGUUGUAAACCGCUUUCGCCUGUGACGAAGCGUGAGUGACGGUAAUGAGUAAAGAAGCACCGGCUAACUACGUG